Molecule: non-coding RNA, 238 nt
Organism: Pelobates cultripes (western spadefoot toad)
Lineage: Eukaryota; Metazoa; Chordata; Amphibia; Anura; Pelobatidae
Source: the annotation of a GenBank genome assembly
CAGGGUCGCAAGAAGCGUGUGGAAAAACCAAGGCACAAAAUAACUGCCCAUGAACUGAGAAAAGUCAAGCGUGCAGCUGCCACGAUGGCACUUGCCACCAGUUUGGCCAUAUUUCAGAGCUGCAACAUCACUGGAGUGCCCAAAAGCACAAGGUGUGCAAUACUCAGAGACAUGGCCAAGGUAAGAAAGGCUGAAAGACGACCACCACUGAACAAGACACACAAGCUGAAACGUCAAG